Molecule: long non-coding RNA, 3484 nt
Organism: Hylaeus anthracinus
Lineage: Eukaryota; Metazoa; Arthropoda; Insecta; Hymenoptera; Colletidae
Exons: 3
Source: RefSeq, a predicted model, not a curated record
UUUACAUAGAACCUUGAUUGUUGCUGACGAACCUCAUCAAGGGGGAAUUUCCAUAGGGAUAUUAUUAGAUUGUGGAUCUUUACGUAUUUGUAGAAAAUUUGAAUGUGCAAGAAACUACGAAAUACACGUAAUAUGCAAGAAUAAAAAAUAUAUAGUUAUAAAUAUAUAAUUUAAAAAAUACAUAUCGAAAGUAAAGUUCAUAUUAUAAUAUUGUGCAUAAGGAUUCGCAGUCCAGAUAUUAUAGUUAGAGUAGAGGAGCCAGAGUUCAAGGGGUACCACAAUUAAAAAGAGAAAGAAAACCAGCGCAUGCGUACAACCGUAUGCCUGUGAUGUCAGUGUUGCAAUGGUCAAACCAUACAUGUUCGCCUUCAAACAGUGUAACUUUAUUCUAUAGAUCUCUUUCAUAAAACCAUAAAUAAUAGAGAUAUUAAAGUGUUCCCAUUCAAAUGCUCCACCCUGUAUGUAUAUGUAUGUAUAUGUAUGUAUACAUAUCAACAUUUUCUUGUAAAUAGUUAUCUAGAAACUUGCAGUUUCAUUCUAAAUCCGUGAAAGUCUUGUUCCCAAAAUUAUUUUCAUUUUAAAAUGUUGGUAAUAUUCUUGAUUAUAAAAUAUAGUAACGAUUAACUUCAUCACAUAAAGUUACAAAUAAAUAGUAGGUCUACUUUAGGGAGGCAUAGAAUUAAUUUCUACGCCUAACACAAUGUCAAGUUCGCGCCUAGAGUUGAAUUAUGCGAUGAAUGACCUCGAUGAAUUAAGUUCCUAAGGAAGAGCGACAAUGUUAACGGUACAUCGGAAUCCUUCGGUAGGAAGCCAACAAAACUGGUCUCCAAUCUGGGUCACGACCUGCUUCCUACUCACCUACAGACCUAUCUACCUGACUGUCGGGCUCAGGUAUGCGCAACCUUCCUCGUGCCUACCUAAAAACUCUCCCUGGUCGUUCAUCUUGUUUUAAGCCACUUUCUUCCACCUGAUCGGAACCGAUACGCGGAAUGUGGACGUUAAAAAUUGUAAUAAAAGUUUCGCACGUCGCGAUGUUUAUCACUUCGACUAUUAAAGGCGCACUAGAACACUUAUUAACGAUAUUUUUAUAUUUUAACGGUCGCGUGGGUCAAUCGAGACCCACGCCUCACGAUUUCAAUGUUUCCAUAAAGAUUCUCGAAUAGUGGUUUAUUCGUGAAUUUAUUACGAACAAACGGUUCAAUGAAAUCAUUCGACAUUUUGUACAUGUUUGUAUACGUGUCAGUCGAAAACAUCGAGUUGACCUUGAAAUGAUUCGUGUAAUGGCUCCUUUUGAUUUACCAAAACCGUAAGUAUUAUCUGCUUUCUCUACUCACUGUGACCUUCAAUGACCUUAUGUAAUAGGUCGUUGAGCUCGCUUUAAGAUCCUCUAUCAUGAUACAAAAACAUAGAGAUAGAUUUAAAAUAAUGGAGGUGACCUUCAAAUAUCCGAGGUACCUCCACCUGCACAAAAAACUAUUAUCCCCAUCGGAUGGUCCUUUUCGUACUGUGUAAUUUUAUUUCAGCAAAUAUUUGUGAAUAUCUGUGAAACUUAUACUUUCGAAGAUAUCUGAAGUACUAAUUAUUGCCCCACCCUGUAUAUUCAAAUUUUUGAGAGUACCUUUAUAUGAAAAAAAAGUUUCAAGAACAAAAAAUUAGAAAAAACCUUGGCUAGACUAGACUCUCCCCAUGAAAAGAAGAGUUUCAAGCUUAAAAUGAAAGAUACAAAAAAGAAAAAUAAGAAGGUGUGCUAUAUGGUGCUUGAAUCGAUGAUUAACCAGUAAGUAAUUUAACUAAAUUCAUUACUGCCUUAAAUUUGUUUACAGUAUUUACUUUUUCAAUCGCGUUUUUCUCGAAAUGACUUCUAUUGAAUUUCUGUACACUCUAGCUCAAACAGUUUUUAACCAAUCGUUUAAAAAAUUGACAGGUUGUUUCUUUAUAUGUAUAAUUACGCCCUAUACGAACCUAAAUUUGAAGUGAUAUCAUUGUCUGAAGUAUUUUUUUUUAUUACCAAAACAUGUUGUGAAAAAUUAUACUCUUUUGUUUUAACACCUAGAAAUGCAAUUUGCAAUUGUUUAGGAUGCAAGUUAAGCUCAUAUAGAAGAAAGGUAUAUCCUUAAAGUAAAUUUGAAAUCCUAUUGCUUUCAGAUGAAACUGCGGCCUUCAGAAUGUACAUAAUCAGCUACGUCUGAUGGUAAUCUUCGUAGCAGCAAAUAAAACUGUGGCCUUCAGAAUGUACAUAAUCAACUACGUUUGAUGGUGAUCUUUGUAGCAGCAAAAAAAAGAACUCAUAGAUAUCACUAAAAGAAUGUCCUAAACUGCACGAGUCCUAAAACUGUAUAUCUAUACAAAAAUGUAAUCCUAAGCUUAUUUCCUCGUUGAAUAAUGUUAAAGGAAGUUAUGUGGGCCAUGGUCGAGGACGAUUUCGUCCCGUGACUUUGGGUGUGGGUCAGGGUCACAGAUGAGAGAACUGUUUGGUACCGUCACGCGCGAUUAUACUCCGCACUCCGGGUCAGUGGCCUCAUUUUGUUUCGGACCGGCUGCUCGGUGAAAGGCGAGGAAAAAUUCCAACCCGGUCACACCUUUAUCGGAUCUCGUCUUGGAGUAAUGUAGAAAGUUAAUUGGCCGACGCGACGUCUAAUUAAGAGUUCCUCGACGCGCCUGUCUGCGCCGUUCGUUUACUCCGCGACGCAUUCUUCGACUGUGCCAUUCAUACAAAUAUUAGAAGCCCAAAUCAAUUAGCUCCAAUUUUAGAAUUUUUUUUUUUCAAUUUUAGCAAUUGAAUCCUUUUCAAUUUUAGCGUCGAGGGACUCGAUCCUGACUUCCUUUAUUCGUAAUAAAUUUCCUUAAUGAUAGUUAUCAACAAUGUUAAAAGACAAUGUUUGGUUGGCCAUCAAAUAAAUGAACAGAUUUUUUGCAUUCAUAGGAAAUUUGAAUGUGCAAGAAACUACAAAAUGCGCGCAAUACGCAGAAAUAUAAUAAAAGAAAAAACAUUAAAAGUAAAGCGAAUAUUGUAAUAUCUGCAGAAGAUCUAAGUUUCGCAUCAGUUAACGAAAGUAUUUACGUAUGUAUUUAAUUCAUAAUGUAUCCCACAAAUUAAGUCUGAAAUUAACAUCUAAUUUUGUGGGUACUUUAAUAUCUGAGUACUUUAAUACCCCACACCUGAGUCCAGUACUUUACGAUAUGCCUGUAACGUGGAGUAAUUUCAAUGUCAGUUACGUUUGUGGACUCGUAUUCGAUGCUCUACGUGACUUACAUAUUCCGUGUCGAUUACUUUAACGUACGAUUGUCCAGUUACUGCCAGAUAUGGCAAAACCAUCUACCAAGCACGUGCAUUGAAGUAACAAAAAGAAAAAGCAAGGAAAUUGCAAGCAGAGGCUACUACUUCUACGAACGAGUGGCAAGACAUGCGGGGAUUCCCAGGUAUAAAUGAAAAAAACAUUCUGCGAGGAUUGUCGAUCCUUUGGAACUAUUUUACCUGCGGUUA